GGAAUUGCUUGUUUAACAUGAUCACGCAGUACAACUUGAGCCUUCUCUAAUGCAAUGUUAUAGAGUGUUAUGAAGACCCCAUCAAAAGCAAGAGCUUUCGUGUAGGCAGCGUCUUUUUGCCAACAAGUGGUAUAUUCAAAAGCAGCAUUGAAAUGGCCCGAUGGAAUCUUACCAGAAAGGGAUAGGUCCUGAUUAAAUCGCUCGGACAUCUGGGAGAAAGAGAGAAUAUCAGAAGUAAAUCUCAUGCGUUCGCCUUUAUCGCAAUUGAUAGAUUUGGGAACAUUUUGAACCAAAAUUCCACCAGGAAUUGAAAUGUCUCGCACCUGAUCAUGGUCAACAGA
Molecule: unclassified non-coding RNA, 341 nt
Filed under: Hevea brasiliensis (rubber tree)
Lineage: Eukaryota; Viridiplantae; Streptophyta; Magnoliopsida; Malpighiales; Euphorbiaceae
Source: RNAcentral